Molecule: ribosomal RNA, 323 nt
Filed under: uncultured eukaryote
Lineage: Eukaryota
Description: partial 18S ribosomal RNA
Rfam family: Eukaryotic small subunit ribosomal RNA
Source: RNAcentral
CCCUUAGAUGUUCUGGGCUGCACGCGUGCUACACUGGUAUUGCCAAUAUGUCAUUCUUAUCCGAAAUGGAUUGGGUAAUCAAGUAAUGAAAUUUCAUGCUUGGAAUCGGUAAUUGCAAUUUUAUCGUGAACGAGGAAUUCCUAGUAAGCACUAGUCAUCAGCUAAUGUUGAUUAUGUCCCUGCCCUUUGUACACACCGCCCGUCGCUACUACUGAUUGGGUGUUCAAGUGAGAUGCUUAGACCCUUGUUGCAUGGUCCAUUAUUGUGCUCCGAAAGGAAAAAGUUUCAAGCUUGAGUGUCUAGAGGAAGUAAAAGUCGUAACA